This 119-nucleotide ribosomal RNA is filed under the name Salmonella enterica subsp. enterica serovar Enteritidis. Lineage: Bacteria; Pseudomonadati; Pseudomonadota; Gammaproteobacteria; Enterobacterales; Enterobacteriaceae. The record is from RNAcentral.
CCUGGCGGCACUAGCGCGGUGGUCCCACCUGACCCCAUGCCGAACUCAGAAGUGAAACGCCGUAGCGCCGAUGGUAGUGUGGGGUCUGAGCUGCGCGCAGAACACGCCUGGCGCUAUGA